UAUUCAAAUUAGUUAUUAUGUAAAUGCCCUUGGUUUUUCUCUGAGCUUAUUAACAAUUGUUAAAUGACUUAGUGCAUGCCUUGUUUCUUUUCAUGUUAAAACAAGUUCUAUUCUAGAAAAUUUUAGUUAAAUGAAUUUAAGUUAUAAAUUUUUUUGUUUCAGUUAUGCAUUUAACUAGGUGUUACAAUUUCCCCCCUGACAGAACCAAGAUGUAACCGAUGCCAUUCAGAAUAUUGUUGCUGCCUAUGAUUGUAGGAUUGUUGAGGGUGUUCGUAGCCACCAAAUGAAGUAGUUUGUGAUUGAUGCAAAUAAGGUUGUGCUAAAUGUAUCUAAUCCGGAUACUAGGGUUGAUGAUGCGGAGUUUGAAGAAAAUGAAGUUUAUGCAAUUGAUAUUGUAGCCAGCACCGGAGAAGGAAAGUUUAUUCCGUAAACAUUAGUCAGAUCUUGACUUUGAGUCGGAUCCAUGGCCAACAAUCUCUGACAGUGCUAAAGAUUUGGUAAAACUGAUGUUGGAUAGAGACCCUAAGAAUAGAAUCUCUGCUCAUAAUGUCUUAUGUCAUCCUUGGAUUGUUGAUGCCUUUGUCCUAUGCUGUUUUGACAUGCUUAAAGUAUUUCUUGGCGAUGAAUAAACUUAAGAAGAUGGCAUUACGUGAAAUAUUAUUUUUAAUUUUGUAUUUAUACAAAUACCUUCCUGAACCGAAUGACAUCAAAGUUCUGGAUCUUGCCUAUUCAAUUUAUUUGAAGUUUGAAGAAUAUCCCAAUGCUCUUCGAAUUGCAUUGUUCAUGGAUAAGCUGCAGGUGUGACACUGGAAUUUUGUCAGUCUGUCUUUAAAAGUAUUUCUUUAACUGUGGUAUGUGAUUCUUUUAAAAUCUUGUUUUUUUGUCAAUUCUACGAGGCCUUAAGAAAAGUAAUUUCUAUAUUUUGUUCCGCAAAUGCUUGUGGUUUGGAACUGAUGAGUUGCAUUAUUGUUGAUAUUAUGCAAAGAAGGUGUUUACUUCUUGCAAUGAUGUGCAUCAAAAGAAGCAAUUCUGUUACAUUAUUGUACGUCAUGGAAUUGCUUUUGCACUCGACAUAGAAAUGGCUGGAAAUGAAGACGACAGAGAAAUGUUGCAGGAUAUUUUAUACAGUUCUAAGUUAAGUGAAUGAUAUCUAGCUCUUGCUCGUGAACUUGAAGUCAUGGAGGCCAAGUCCCAUAUGGAUAUGAAAGAUGUGUAUGGCAUGAAAUAAAUAAAUGUUUUUUUUGGGGAUAUGCAGUAUAAAAGUCACUUAGAACCUGAAUGUUUAUCAUCAUUGACACUUUCGACGCAUUUCGAACUGCCCAACAAGUGGUAUCAGAGUCAUGGUUAGACUCGUCAAAACCGCGAAAACAAUUGCUUCUCCAGGGCGUGGUAUUUUGGCCAUGGAUGAAUUCAAUGCUACAUGUGGAAAGCGGUUGGAUUCAAUUGGACUAGAGAACACCGAAGCUAACCGUCAAGCAUGGCGUAAAAUUAUAUAUGAAGAAAGUGUUAUAACUUAGUUAAAAUAUAAUUUUUAUGUGUAUGAUUUUAUAAUACUUGAAAUAUUA
This is a long non-coding RNA of Vicia villosa (hairy vetch), 1565 nucleotides long. RefSeq lists it as uncharacterized. NCBI's taxonomy places the organism in Eukaryota, Viridiplantae, Streptophyta, Magnoliopsida, Fabales, Fabaceae. The transcript is spliced from 6 exons. The record is from RefSeq and is a predicted model, not a curated record.